CUUUCGUGGAGAGACAGGAUCUGAGGAAGGGAAGGAGUUCAUUAUUAUUCUCUGAAGUCAUCAGGGAGCACCAAGAGGGUGGGAUUUCAGGAAGUAUUUAAAUGAAAGGAGACACAUGGCUUGGCACAGUGAGAGGGAGGUUUUCCAGGCUUCCUGUGCUGUCUUGGGGACCUGCUCAGAGGCUGGACCGCGUCAUGCUCAGAAGGCCCUGUUUUCUUUAGACGCUGACUCCUGCUGUCUACCAGAUCCUCGUGGUACAAUGACUGGUGUAGACUGGCUUGUUGAAGUCACUCUCUGGAUCUGAGCAACGCUGGCUGAGCCGUGAUGAAGUAUUCCUAUCCAUCCACUAUGCUUCACAGUGGGAAUCUCUCACUGUUCAUCACCGCUGCCCUAGCAGCCGCAGCUGGAAUGAGAGACUGGAUGGCGUUGAAAUGAAAUGCUGGAGCCAUCCAUCCAUGUGCUUCCAGGGUGGCUUCCUGGCUGUGAGAACACAGUGACCCUGUGAGGCCAACAUGGACUCGGUUCUCCUGACAUAACAUGGCUGGAGGAGCUCCAGCUCUGGGAUGUUAUCUUGCUGUUUUACACUGGUGGUUCAGCCAGCCCAUGGGAAACUGAACUUGGGCUGGGAGACCUGGCAGCAAAUCCAAACUGAAAUAAGAAUCAGCACUUCGAGUUCAACUGUGAAACAAAUGUGGGCCCAAGGCCUAAAUGCCCGAAAGACAUAGGGAAGGGUUGAAGUGGAAUAAAGAAAGCUUUUGGUGACACUAUGGGAAGGGCUAUUGAGUAUCUUCUCAGGACAGUACAAAAUGUCAGAGGCACAGCAUAUUUCGAAACCUAUUUUUAAAGCUGCUUUAGAUUUUUUAACUUGAUGGAUAGAUAUAUUCAUUUUUUAAAAAAAGAAAUGGUGACCCUCUUAAGAGGCAAAGUACGAGCCUCAAGUGUUGUGGGAUGUAUCCAUCAUUGGUUACUAAGUUUUCCAAUGGCUCAGACACUCCCAGAAGCGAAGACUCCUGAGCCAAAGGAAGAUGAGAGCUGAAAGGAGCAUCGAGCUCAUCCAGUGCAAUGCUUCUCAGCUUGUGCCCACUUUGGAUUCACUUGGAAAUAUUUUAGAAAUACUGAUGCCUGGGCCCCAUUCCAGACCAGUUAAAUCAUACUAUCUGGGAGAGAUACCCAGAAAGUGGUAUGUUUUAACACCUCCUUAGGGAUUCUGCUGAUCAACCAAGGUUGAGAAGAAUCAAACUAGACUCAUUUUACAUAUGAAGAAAUGGAAACCCAGAUAUUGAGAUAAAAAAUGUUGCCCAAGUCACGUAGCUAGUGUCAAAACCUGACUCUUAAUAAAUGCCCUUAUGUCACACUAA
Molecule: long non-coding RNA, 1358 nt
Filed under: Homo sapiens (human)
Lineage: Eukaryota; Metazoa; Chordata; Mammalia; Primates; Hominidae
Description: LRRC52 antisense RNA 1
Source: RNAcentral